This is a long non-coding RNA of Schistocerca piceifrons (Central American locust), 427 nucleotides long. RefSeq lists it as uncharacterized. The transcript is spliced from 4 exons. Lineage: Eukaryota; Metazoa; Arthropoda; Insecta; Orthoptera; Acrididae. The record is from RefSeq and is a predicted model, not a curated record.
CCACUCCAGUCUGUGGCUGACAGCGGCCAUCGUCACUUCCGUCUCGCUAGCAGAGUUUAAUGGGAUAUUACAUAUAGAAUAAGAGUCAACAGACGUAAGUGCAAAUGAUGUACGCAAUCUGACAUGGAUGGAAUGAGCAUUGGGGAAGGUGUCAUGCGAUUAUAAACCGAGAUUUAAUCACAAGUGACGAGGAAGCAAGAUGGCCACUCAGGAUAUCAGCGCAGAAACAGUAACAGAAGAGCGGCAGCCGCUGCGCCAUUCUAAUUUCGAGAGGUCUUCCACAUUCAGGAGGUGGCCGCAGUAUAUUGCAGUUUUUUUCGCCACCCUGGGCGGGGCGACGGCCGGCCUGGUGGGCGGCUGGACGAGCAACGCGGCGCCGGCGCUGCGGCUGCGCGGCCUGUCGGAACCCUCGCUGGCGUGGGUGGGC